GAUGAACGCUGGCGGCGUGCCUAAUACAUGCAAGUCGAGCGAACAGACGAGAGUGCUUGCACUCUCUGACGUUAGCGGCGGACGGGUGAGUAACGCGUGGGUAACCUACCUAUAAGACUGGGAUAACUUCGGGAAACCGGAGCUAAUACCGGAUAAUAUUUAGCUUCGCAUGAAGCAAUAGUGAAAGACGGUUCUGCUGUCACUUAUAGAUGGACCCGCGGUGUAUUAGCUAGUUGGUGAGGUAACGGCUCACCAAGGCAACGAUACAUAGCCGACCUGAGAGGGUGAUCGGCCACACUGGGACUGAGACACGGCCCAGACUCCUACGGGAGGCAGCAGUAGGGAAUCUUCCGCAAUGGACGAAAGUCUGACGGAGCAAUGCCGCGUGAGUGAAGAAGGUUUUCGGAUCGUAAAACUCUGUUGUAAGGGAAGAACAAGUACGUUAGUAACUGAACGUACCUUGACGGUACCUUACCAGAAAGCCACGGCUAACUACGUG
This 499-nucleotide ribosomal RNA is filed under the name uncultured bacterium. RNAcentral's name for it is "partial 16S ribosomal RNA". It matches the Rfam family "Bacterial small subunit ribosomal RNA", at positions 28 to 507 of the family's 1533-position model. The record is from RNAcentral.